Cyprinodon tularosa is the source of this 999-nucleotide long non-coding RNA. RefSeq lists it as uncharacterized. The transcript has 3 exons. The record is from RefSeq and is a predicted model, not a curated record. NCBI's taxonomy places the organism in Eukaryota, Metazoa, Chordata, Actinopteri, Cyprinodontiformes, Cyprinodontidae.
UGCAUGCAGCCAAUUGACACACCUGAGGCAAUUAUUUAGGCUUGCUCCAGCUUUCCCUAGUCAGAUGUGAGGGGGAGAGCUGGAGACAAAGGAGCUACAGAUCCGAGAAAUCCAGUGAGUUUGGAGCCUUGGAGCUGCCAUACUCUCAUCUAUUAUUGGAAUUGGCCAGGUGAUCCCUUUUUAGGGAAAAAGAUGGCGAGCUUCUGAAAACUGGCUGGAGCCAGGAGAGCCUUAAGAAUCACUCCACAGUGGACUGGUCUGUAUCAUUUCCCCCCUCCAUCUCACCACUCAGGCAUACACUCCAUUAUUCACCUCUUCAUCUGAAACAACUUGCGCUGGGACAUUCUUCAACUUAAAUAUCUGGAUAAUCCAACCAUGGAUUUCUGAAUGUGUGUUGGUCAGACUCUGGACUGAUCAGCGGGGAAUUUAAGACCAGUUGUGCACAAACAAAAGGAUUGCCACAGUACUGUGUAUAUAUAUUUUUUUGUAUUUAUUUUGGGUUCUAUGUAUGUUGUCUUGUAUUGUUUACUUUAAAUUUGUCUAAUACAUGGUAUUGAAAGCAGUUUUGUGUCGUUUUAUUGAUUACUGACAACGGCUCCAGUAGACGAAUUCUAGUCUUCUGAUUUUCUUCCAUCUAGUCCUUUUACAAUUUAAAUAGUGCUACAUUAUUGGCGAGCUAGCCAGGAGCUGUUUUGAUCAGUAAUCAAUAGAAAACAGUUGAGUUGCACAAAUAAGGUUCCUACUCACCAAUUCAAUUUCCAUUAUGGAGGUUUUUGAAACCCUUGGUCUAAAAAUCCCUAACACAGUAUUGAUUGAUGGAGUCCCAGAGAACCCCACUGAUGAACUUAUUGAUUUUCUUGAACAGUAUGGUGAUAUUAAGCAGAGAACUACCAUCGAUUCAUCUGAAUCAGAAUUUGAUCAAAUGUUGGUUGUUGAAUUUGAUUCUGGGUUGUCUUUAGCAUGCUUAUCUCCAAUAUUACCAUAUACAUUUACAUCAAG